This 63-nucleotide transfer RNA is filed under the name Desulfoprunum benzoelyticum. Its description in RNAcentral is "tRNA-Ser". It matches the Rfam family "tRNA", at positions 13 to 71 of the family's 71-position model. From Rfam's summary of the family: Transfer RNA (tRNA) molecules are approximately 80 nucleotides in length. Their secondary structure includes four short double-helical elements and three loops (D, anti-codon, and T loops). Lineage: Bacteria; Pseudomonadati; Thermodesulfobacteriota; Desulfobulbia; Desulfobulbales; Desulfobulbaceae. The record is from RNAcentral.
GAAAGGUGAAAAAACGGACUACGAAUCCGUAGGUCGGGAGUUCGAAUCUCUCCUGGUGCACCA